AUAAAUUUUUGUUUUAUAAGGAUUACUUGGAUUUCGAAAAAAAACAGUGACUCUGAAACUCAGUCAACUAUUUACAUCCAAAACUCAACCUCCUCAAAUUCAUGCAAUAACCAAACAAGCCUCUAUCACCAUGCAAUCACCACCACGGACCACCCACUCCGCCGCGACAGAUUAUUCAAACAAUCACCCUCUCUCUGCGGCUCCACAUCUCAUCAACCACCACGUACCGCCUCUUCUCUCAAUGUGUCUCUCUCUUUCCACCACGUAUCCACUUCCUCUUUUUCCCUUUCACCAAGCACUCUGGCCUUUCUCCACCACCGGCACCACGUGUCCUCUCUCCACGUAUCACGUUCCACUGCUCGUCCCCUGUUUGGCUGUUUCAGUUUUUAAUGGUUUCUGGUAGGCUUUCAAUUCCAAAGACAAUGAAGGAAAAAAGAAGAUCACCGUCUAACCAUGUAAUCUAGCUCAACUCAACUCCACUCCGUUGUAAAGUAAAGUAACCAUGGUUAAUUCUGAUUUUGCCCCUGUUUGUCAAUGUGGCGCUAAGCUUUUGCCUGCUGUCAACUUCAUGCACAAAAUAGAGUACAACUGCUGGCCAGCCUGAUUUUACACGUGGAGCGUUUGCUAUGGGUCUUUUGCCUUCCCUACAUUUUUUUCUAGUGGCCCCUAUUCGCCGUACUGUCCUAUCUGUCACUGCACACGUUGUCCAUUUGUUUCCUUACACGUAUCAUGCGAAUCUACUUGAGUUGAUUGCAUUGCUG
This 761-nucleotide unclassified non-coding RNA is filed under the name Hevea brasiliensis (rubber tree). Lineage: Eukaryota; Viridiplantae; Streptophyta; Magnoliopsida; Malpighiales; Euphorbiaceae. The record is from RNAcentral.